GAUGAACGCUAGCGACAGGCCUAACACAUGCAAGUCGAGGGGCAGCACAAGGUAGCAAUACUGAGGUGGCGACCGGCGCACGGGUGAGUAACGCGUAUGCAACCUGCCUGUAACAGGGGAAUAGCCUCUUGAAAGAGAGAUUAAUGCCGCAUAAUACGAGAUUCGGGCAUCCGGAUUUAGUUAAACAUUUAUGGGUUACAGAUGGGCAUGCGUUUCAUUAGGUAGUUGGUGAGGUAACGGCUCACCAAGCCGACGAUGAAUAGGGGUUCUGAGAGGAAGGUCCCCCACACUGGUACUGAGACACGGACCAGACUCCUACGGGAGGCAGCAGUGAGGAAUAUUGGUCAAUGGACGCAAGUCUGAACCAGCCAAGUCGCGUGAAGGAUGAAGGUAUUAUGUAUUGUAAACUUCUUUUGUCAGGGAAUAAUGGGUGUCACGUGUGACGCAGAGGAAUGUACCUGACGAAUAAGCAUCGGCUAACUCCGUGCCAGCAGCCGCGGUAAUACGGAGGAUGCGAGCGUUAUCCGGAUUUAUUGGGUUUAAAGGGUGCGUAGGCGGUUUGUUAAGUCAGUGNNGAAAGUUUGCGGCUCAACCGUAAAAUUGCCAUUGAAACUGGCGAACUUGAGUACAGUAGAGGUAGGCGGAAUUCGUGGUGUAGCGGUGAAAUGCUUAGAUAUCACNAA
RNAcentral lists this ribosomal RNA (683 nucleotides) under uncultured prokaryote. RNAcentral describes it as "bacterial SSU rRNA". It matches the Rfam family "Bacterial small subunit ribosomal RNA", at positions 28 to 703 of the family's 1533-position model. The record is from RNAcentral.